GACGAACGCUGGCGGCGUGCUUAACACAUGCAAGUCGAACGGAAAGGCCCUGCUUUUGUGGGGUGCUCGAGUGGCGAACGGGUGAGUAACACGUGAGUAACCUGCCCUUGACUUUGGGAUAACUUCAGGAAACUGGGGCUAAUACCGGAUAGGAGCACCUGCUGCAUGGUGGGGGUUGGAAAGUUUCGGUGGUUGGGGGUGGACGUGGGGCUUAUCAGCUUGUGGGUGGGGUAGUGGCUUACCAAGGCUUUGGCGGGUAGCCGGCCUGGGAGGGUGACCGGCCCCAUUGGGACUGAGGUGCCGGCCGGAGUGCUACGGGAGGCAUGAGUGGGGGAUAUUGCGCAAUGGGCGGAAGCAUGAAGCAGCAACGCCGCGUGGUGGAUGUCGGCCUUCGGGGUGUAACGCGCUUUCGCCUGUGACGAAGAGUCAGUGACGGUAAUGGGUCAGGAAGCAACGGCUAACUACGUG
This 468-nucleotide ribosomal RNA is filed under the name uncultured bacterium. RNAcentral describes it as "partial 16S ribosomal RNA". It matches the Rfam family "Bacterial small subunit ribosomal RNA", at positions 28 to 507 of the family's 1533-position model. The record is from RNAcentral.